GCGGCCGCAGCGCCAUGUUGGAUGCUCUGCUCGUUGAGUGAAGAAAAUCCGUCCGCAUCGCCCGAGCCCCGCUACCGAGAAGGGCGCCGCUUCCCCCGGGGAGGGGGACAGAGACCCCCCGCCGCCGGCCCAUGAGGAUAUUGCCGUGAAAGGCUCAGCGGCUGCAGCAGGAACCGGACCCGGCACCGGAGCGGCGGCGGCGGCGGCGGCGGCGGCGGUACCGCCUCCUCACCCGGCGGCGGCGGCGGCGGCAGCGGCGGCGGCGGCAGCGGCAGCAGCGGUAGCGGCGGCCCCUCCUCACCCGAACAUCAGGGCCCUCCAGACCCCGGCGCCCCAACAAAUUCCUCGAGGACCGGUGCAACAGCCUCUGGAGGAUCGGAUCUUCCCUCCCACGGUCUCUGCAGUCUAUAGCACGACCCCUUAUCCCUCUGGACAGAAUGCAGGUCCAGCCACAUUGGUCUAUCCUCAAGCCCCUCAGACAAUGAAUUCACAACCUC
Molecule: long non-coding RNA, 497 nt
Filed under: Rattus norvegicus (Norway rat)
Lineage: Eukaryota; Metazoa; Chordata; Mammalia; Rodentia; Muridae
Description: long non-coding RNA NONRATT022769
Source: RNAcentral